This 460-nucleotide ribosomal RNA is filed under the name uncultured bacterium. RNAcentral's name for it is "partial 16S ribosomal RNA". It matches the Rfam family "Bacterial small subunit ribosomal RNA", at positions 338 to 795 of the family's 1533-position model. The record is from RNAcentral.
CCUACGGGGGACAGCAGUGAGGAAUAUUGGUCAAUGGACGAGAGUCUGAACCAGCCAAGUAGCGUGAAGGAUGACUGCCCUAUGGGUUGUAAACUUCUUUUAUAUGGGAAUAAAAUGUUCCACGUGUGGGAUUUUGUAUGUACCAUAUGAAUAAGGAUCGGCUAACUCCGUGCCAGCAGCCGCGGUAAUACGGAGGAUCCGAGCGUUAUCCGGAUUUAUUGGGUUUAAAGGGAGCGUAGGUGGAUUGAUAAGUCAGUUGUGAAAUUUUGCGGCUCAACCGUAAAAUUGCAGUUGAAACUGGCAGUCUUGAGUACAGUAGAGGUGGGCGGAAUGCGUGGUGUAGCGGUGAAAUGCUUAGAGAUCACGAAGAACUCCGAUUGCGAAGGCAGCUCACUGGACUGCAACUGACACUGAGGCUCGAAAGUGUGGGUAUCAAACAGGAUUAGAUACCCGAGUAGUC